Molecule: non-coding RNA, 101 nt
Filed under: unclassified sequences
Source: RNAcentral
CCCAUUAACGUAAAGAGCCUUGACGUGGCUAAUGGGCUUAGUAGUUAUUCUAAAAGAAUAGCUGCAAAGCCAUUCUUUUAAAAUAAUGAACUAAUACUUUA